AUGCUGGUGCAAGAGAUAGCUUUGUCACUAUUAGGGAUGGGAGCAGAUGAAGAAAGAAUGGAAGGCAGAGGAAGACAGUUCUUGAUGCUGGAUUCCUUCUCCACGCUCCUGGAGCUUGUCACGCUCCGCCAUCGCUUGGUAGAAGUGGCAACAGAGAGUGCACAGUUAGCCAGGUUAUAUAAGGCUUUUGCAAUGGAAACAGGUUUUGGGGAGUUCCAUUUGUAUCUGAGGCCAGCACACUUUGAAUCUGCAGUUCACAAGGAGAAAGCAGACCAUCUCCCGCCAAUAUUCAUUACCUCUCUCUUGGAAGAUGACAGCUGUGUUGACAGAUAUAUCCCAUCUAGCUUACCAUUAAGCAUUCAAGAAAUCGACAGUCAUAUCGGAAAUUUUAGUUUUCGUACAAGAGAUGCUGUCAUGCAGGUGAAUGAUUUAAUUUGCAGAAUAAGUGAAGAAUAUGUAUUAUUAUUUAUUUGCAGGGGUGUGUAA
This 486-nucleotide long non-coding RNA is filed under the name Anser cygnoides (Swan goose). Its description in RNAcentral is "lncRNA (ENSACDG00005004683.1)". Lineage: Eukaryota; Metazoa; Chordata; Aves; Anseriformes; Anatidae. The record is from RNAcentral.